AUGGAACGUGGGGUAGGGCUUCCGAGGGGCGCGGGCCCGGCUCCCCUCCGUGCAGCUCCUCCCCGCGCCAGCCAGCGGUGGGGGUGUUGGGAUAACUGGCGAUGCAGCCCCCAGCCCCCGGCACACACACCGUGGCUGCCGCCGGACUGUCCUCCAGGCCAGCUCCCCCGCCAAGUGUCUCCAGAACAGCCGAGGCCCACCCUGCGUCCUCGGCCCCUCAGCCCGUGCUCCCGGCCCGGACCCCUUGCUCCCUCCAGCCUCAGCAUCCGCACCUGUGUCAGGGCCUGGUCCGUGCGCCCUGUCUGCAGCUCCAGGGAGACGGCCCAGGGGUGGGUCCCCCCCGAGGUGACAAGGGCCAAGGGCAGCAGCCUCCAUGAUUCACUUCCUCCUUGCUGUGUGCUGGGUGAGUCACGCCGACGCCAACCACAGGCGGGAGGCUCCUCACGCGCAGGCCGCGGGCUCUGCUGGAGGCCCGGCAUUCUUCGUAUUCCCUUGGGAUCUGCAUGUGUCUUCUGGUGACUCCCGGAGCCCAUCUGUGUCCCCUCCUUGUGUGUGACUGACUCCACCUGGGACCCCGCCGGCCCCUUGGGGGACGUCUGGUCGCUUGCGCAGCCUGUCGGUCCAGCCCGGGCCGCCACACCCCAGGAGCCGGGCCGCGGGUGGCUCAGUGGGCUGGGCGCCUCCCUGGGCCGGCCGUGGGCCCUGCGUCCCUGGGGGGGCUGGAGGGGCCUCGGGCUCUCGGUCAGGAGGCCUUGCUUCUCCUCCGUCCUCCGCUCCGCCCCCACGCGUGCUUUCCCUCACACAAAGAAAUCCAAAUCUUUAAAAGAAUAACUAAAUAAGAACGUGUCCCAACAGUCCUCCAGCAUGGAGCCUGCGGUGAGUCAUGGAGCCCACCCGUGACUCCUCCAAAGUCCAUCCUCCACUUGCUUCUCCCAGGAGACCCCCCAUGGGAGGAGGACGUGGGCCGAGGAAGGGGUGGCCACGACCUGGAGCUAAGCUCCACAGUGAACUGGGUCUCGUCUCCUCUCAACGAUGGGAGGGACAUUAUCUUCUUUCUUUUUGCGACCUCCUAGGAACC
Molecule: long non-coding RNA, 1078 nt
Filed under: Canis lupus familiaris (dog)
Lineage: Eukaryota; Metazoa; Chordata; Mammalia; Carnivora; Canidae
Description: lncRNA (ENSCAFG00030004888.1)
Source: RNAcentral